RNAcentral lists this ribosomal RNA (510 nucleotides) under uncultured bacterium. Its description in RNAcentral is "partial 16S ribosomal RNA". It matches the Rfam family "Bacterial small subunit ribosomal RNA", at positions 28 to 507 of the family's 1533-position model. The record is from RNAcentral.
GACGAACGCUGGCGGCGUGCUUAACACAUGCAAGUCGAACGAAGAGCGAUGGAAGCUUGCUUCUAUCAAUCUUAGUGGCGAACGGGUGAGUAACGCGUAAUCAACCUGCCCUUCAGAGGGGGACAACAGUUGGAAACGACUGCUAAUACCGCAUACGAUCUAAUCUCAGCAUCGAGGAUAGAUGAAAGGUGGCCUCUACAUGUAAGCUAUCACUGAAGGAGGGGAUUGCGUCUGAUUAGCUAGUUGGAGGGGUAACGGCCCACCAAGGCGAUGAUCAGUAGCCGGUCUGAGAGGAUGAACGGCCACAUUGGGACUGAGACACGGCCCAGACUCCUACGGGAGGCAGCAGUGGGGAAUCUUCCGCAAUGGACGAAAGUCUGACGGAGCAACGCCGCGUGAGUGAUGACGGCCUUCGGGUUGUAAAGCUCUGUUAAUCGGGACGAAAGGCCUUCUUGCGAACAGUUAGAAGGAUUGACGGUACCGGAAUAGAAAGCCACGGCUAACUACGUG